This 560-nucleotide long non-coding RNA is filed under the name Theobroma cacao (cacao). RNAcentral's name for it is "long non-coding RNA (TCAC_LNC000065)". Lineage: Eukaryota; Viridiplantae; Streptophyta; Magnoliopsida; Malvales; Malvaceae. The record is from RNAcentral.
UGAUUCUUUGGAGGCAAGCAAAUGAACACAUUUAUACUAAAAAUGAGAUUAAUUAUAUCAAAAUGGUUGGUGUGUGUGUAUUAUAUUAUUAAUGCAAGUCGGCUUCCAACAUGGGGCAGUAGCUUAUUCUGAUGUAUAACUCUGUAUAUAUUCAGAUCAUACACUAAUUCUGGUUUGACCAAAGAGAUUGGGAGAAAAAAAAUAAAAGCCAAAAAGAGAAAGUAAACUAAAGGUGGGAGCAAGCAUUCAAAUAAUGCAGCCGGAAAGGAAACGAGAUCAGAUGUCUGUGUGGCGAUGGGCGAUGAGCGAUGGGUGUUUGCUUAAUAGAAAUCUGAUACUUGAUAAUUAGUCAAAAGAACAACUUAAAGGCGUUUCUGUCAAUAACCUUUCGGCAGGAAAAGGCGAGUAAAGACAAGCUGGAUAUUCCCUUGAUUUAUAUUCUAACUUAAGAUUCUUUCCUCCAUCACAUGAUCAAUCCCAGCUAUUUCUAUCAGAAACAAAGUCAAUCUCCAAGAGCUUUCAAUAAACAAAACGUUGUUGUUUUUGCAAGUUUACUGAAC